ACAAACUUGGUCAUUUAGAGGAAGUAAAAGUCGUAACAAGGUUUCCGUAGGUGAACCUGCGGAAGGAUCAUUACUGAAUUUAAUGCUAGGGUUGUAGCUGGCUCUAACACAGCAUGUGCACACUCUGGCUAUCCAAAUUCUUACACCUCUGUGCACCUCUCAUAAGACAAGUAGCUUGGCUGCAUGAACAGUUGCACUGUUCAGUGGUCUUUUUGCAUUGUCUUAUGCUUUUACAUUUACACUUUGGUGAUUGAAUGUUACAUUGUGUUAAACACAUUAUAUACAACUUUCAGCAACGGAUCUCUUGGCUCUCGCAUCGAUGAAGAACGCAGC
Molecule: unclassified non-coding RNA, 333 nt
Filed under: uncultured fungus
Lineage: Eukaryota; Fungi
Description: partial contains small subunit ribosomal RNA, internal transcribed spacer 1, and 5.8S ribosomal RNA
Rfam family: Eukaryotic small subunit ribosomal RNA (bases 1-73)
Source: RNAcentral